CGUUAGACGAACGGUCUGGAAAGUCCGACGAUACAGGGUGAUAGUCCCGUAGUUGACGACGUGUGUUCAGUGAAAUCGAGUAGGGCGGGACACGUGAUAUCCUGUCUGAAUAUGGGGGGACCAUCCUCCAAGGCUAAAUACUACUGACUGACCGAUAGUGAACCAGUACCGUGAGGGAAAGGCGAAAAGAACCCCUGUGAGGGGAGUGAAAUAGAACCUGAAACCGUGUACGUACAAGCAGUAGGAGCAGGCUUGUCCUGUGACUGCGUACCUUUUGUAUAAUGGGUCAGCGACUUAUAUUCAGUGGCAAGGUUAACCAUCUAGGGGAGCCGUAGGGAAACCGAGUCUUAACUGGGCGUUCAGUCUCUGGAUAUAGACCCGAAACCAGGUGAUCUAGCCAUGGGCAGGUUGAAGGUUGAGUAACAUCAACUGGAGGAC
RNAcentral lists this ribosomal RNA (438 nucleotides) under Vibrio parahaemolyticus. RNAcentral describes it as "partial 23S ribosomal RNA". It matches the Rfam family "Bacterial large subunit ribosomal RNA", at positions 327 to 774 of the family's 2925-position model. The record is from RNAcentral. Lineage: Bacteria; Pseudomonadati; Pseudomonadota; Gammaproteobacteria; Vibrionales; Vibrionaceae.